This 253-nucleotide ribosomal RNA is filed under the name uncultured bacterium. Its description in RNAcentral is "partial 16S ribosomal RNA". It matches the Rfam family "Bacterial small subunit ribosomal RNA", at positions 524 to 776 of the family's 1533-position model. The record is from RNAcentral.
UACGUAGGGUGCUAGCGUUGUCCGGAAUCAUUGGGCGUAAAGAGCGUGUAGGCGGUCCGGUAAGUCCGCUGUGAAAGUCGGGGGCUCAACCCUCGGAUGCCGGUGGAUACUGUCGGGCUUGAGUACGGAAGAGGCGAGUGGAAUUCCUGGUGUAGCGGUGAAAUGCGCAGAUAUCAGGAGGAACACCAAUUGCGAAGGCAGCUCGCUGGGACGUUACUGACGCUGAGACGCGAAAGCGUGGGGAGCAAACAGG